AACGAACGCUGGCGGCAGGCCUAACACAUGCAAGUCGAACGAGAAGCCACCUUCGGGUGGUGGACAGUGGCAGACGGGUGAGUAACGCGUGGGAACGUGCCUUUCGGUUCGGGACAACCCAGGGAAACUUGGGCUAAUACCGGAUACGCCCUUUGGGGGAAAGAUUCAUUGCCGAAAGAUCGGCCCGCGUCGGAUUAGCUAGUUGGUGGGGUAAAAGCCUACCAAGGCGACGAUCCGUAGCUGGUCUGAGAGGAUGACCAGCCACACUGGGACUGAGACACGGCCCAGACUCCUACGGGAGGCAGCAGUGGGGAAUAUUGGACAAUGGGCGAAAGCCUGAUCCAGCCAUGCCGCUGGGUGAAGAAGGCCCUAGGGUUGUAAACCCCUUUCAGCGGGAAGAUAAUGACGGUACCCGCAGAAGAAGUCCCGGCUAACUCCGUGCCA
RNAcentral lists this ribosomal RNA (444 nucleotides) under uncultured bacterium. Its description in RNAcentral is "bacterial SSU rRNA". It matches the Rfam family "Bacterial small subunit ribosomal RNA", at positions 29 to 510 of the family's 1533-position model. The record is from RNAcentral.